GUCCUUUAAGUCUGAUGUGAAAUCCCCGGGCUUAACCUGGGAACUGCAUUUGUGACUGCAUUGCUGGAGUGCGGCAGAGGGGGAUGGAAUUCCGCGUGUAGCAGUGAAAUGCGUAGAUAUGCGGAGGAACACCGAUGGCGAAGGCAAUCCCCUGGGCCUGCACUGACGCUCAUGCACGAAAGCGUGGGGAGC
This 192-nucleotide ribosomal RNA is filed under the name uncultured bacterium. RNAcentral's name for it is "partial 16S ribosomal RNA". It matches the Rfam family "Bacterial small subunit ribosomal RNA", at positions 578 to 769 of the family's 1533-position model. The record is from RNAcentral.